UACGAAGGGGGCUAGCGUUGCUCGGAAUCACUGGGCGUAAAGCGCACGUAGGCGGCUUGUUAAGUCAGGGGUGAAAUCCUGGAGCUCAACCCCAGAACUGCCUUUGAUACUGGCGAGCUUGAGUUCGGGAGAGGUGAGUGGAACUGCGAGUGUAGAGGUGAAAUUCGUAGAUAUUCGCAAGAACACCAGUGGCGAAGGCGGCUCACUGGCCCGAUACUGACGCUGAGGUGCGAAAGCGUGGGGAGCAAACAGG
RNAcentral lists this ribosomal RNA (253 nucleotides) under uncultured bacterium. Its description in RNAcentral is "partial 16S ribosomal RNA". It matches the Rfam family "Bacterial small subunit ribosomal RNA", at positions 524 to 776 of the family's 1533-position model. The record is from RNAcentral.